RNAcentral lists this ribosomal RNA (468 nucleotides) under uncultured bacterium. Its description in RNAcentral is "partial 16S ribosomal RNA". It matches the Rfam family "Bacterial small subunit ribosomal RNA", at positions 28 to 507 of the family's 1533-position model. The record is from RNAcentral.
GACGAACGCUGGCGGCGUGCUUAACACAUGCAAGUCGAACGGAAAGGCCCUGCUUUUGUGGGGUGCUCGAGUGGCGAACGGGUGAGUAACACGUGAGUAACCUGCCCUUGACUUUGGGAUAACUUCAGGAAACUGGGGCUAAUACCGGAUAGGAGCUCCUGCUGCAUGGUGGGGGUUGGAAAGUUUCGGCGGUUGGGGAUGGACUCGCGGCUUAUCAGCUUGUUGGUAGGGUAGUGGCUUACCAAGGUUUUGACGGGUAGCCGGCCUGAGAGGGUGACCGGCCACAUUGGGACUGAGAUACGGCCCAGACUCCUACGGGAGGCAGCAGUGGGGAAUAUUGCACAAUGGGCGGAAGCCUGAUGCAGCAACGCCGCGUGCGGGAUGACGGCCUUCGGGUUGUAAACCGCUUUCGCCUGUGACGAAGCGUGAGUGACGGUAAUGGGUAAAGAAGCACCGGCUAACUACGUG